UCAUUUUGCUUUCUCCUUUUGCUGCGUAAAAGCUUUUUACUUUGAUAUAGUCUCAUUUGUUUAUUUUUGCUUUUGUUGCUUGUACUUUUGAUGUCAUAUCCAAAAAAAGUCAUUGCCCAGACCAAUGUCAAGCAGGUGUUCCCCUGUGUUUUCUUCUAGGAGUAUGAUAAUUUUAGAUCUUACAUUUAAGUCUUUAAUCCAUUUUGAGUUAAUUUUUGUGAGUGGUACAUGUAAUAUUAUUUAACACAGAGCCAGUAGAAUUGGGCCAAUAAAGAAAGCAUCAUACACCCACCAAAUCAAAUCUUUGCCACUUGAAAGAGGAUGCUUCCUAUUUGGCCCAUGAUUUUUUUUUGCAGGUUUCUAAAAUUUUUCUCAGGGAUUCCAAAGUUGACUUUUAAGUUUUUGUUGAGAGAAAAAAAUAUACGGUUCUUUGCCAUAUCAGUAAGUUCUUUGAGGCUCUUACUCAUAUGAUUUGCUGAAUAAAAUCCAUUCCAACAUUCUGUUUGAAGACAUUUUUUCUUUACACCUUCUAAUGUCUUGUUUUAGCCACAUAGCUGUUAUCAUCGGAUUUCUUUUCAUAGUAAUCUGGCUUAAUUUCAUUGUUUUCAGAUUCUACAGAAGUUUUUUCCAGAAGGGUGUGUCCAAGGAGUCCUUGCAUAUAUAUAAAAUUUUUUUAUUUUUCUUCACACUUGGCUUUGUUGCUGCUCAGAAUGGUAUCUUAGUUUCAAUUAUAUUUUCUAAUUGGUGAGUGUAGAAUAAUGCUACUCAUAAGUUAAUCUUUUACCUGGGAAAUUUGCUCAACUCAUUUCUAGGAGUUGACUGAUAAUCAGUUUUAUCUUUUUUCCUUCCAAUCCUUAUCUUUUUCUUACCUUCUUUCCUUGACCAGGAUGUCUGGUACUAUGUAGGCUAGAAUUAUAGAUCCAUACCAUUUUUUUCUUCCAAAUUUUUGAUACUAUAUCAUUUGGACACUCCGUUGAGAAGUAUAAUAUUACUUUGAAUCCCAUUUUUUUUGUAGGGAACCUGUUUUUUCUCUCUACAAGCUUUAUGGUCUUACUUUCUCCUUAAAAUUCUGCAGUUUUAUGAGAAUAUACCUUGGCAUAACGUAUACCUUGGUAUAUAUAUAGAUCUAUACCUUGGUGUCAAUCCUUUUUAUUUAUCUUGCAUGGCAUUUCAUCCUGUAGACUUUUGUCUUUUCAGCUCUAUGAAUUUUUUUCUUUUAAUUGUCUCUCUCCUACCCCCACUCCUAUUUGACUAAUAUUGGACUUCCUCAAUUGAUUCUCCAUUCUGCAACCUUUUCCUCAUAUUUUUCACUGCUUAGUUUUUGGUUUGCACUGUGGAAUUUUCUCAACUUUGACUUCUAGACCUUUUAUUGAAAAUUUUAUUUAAGAUAUAUUAUUUUUGAUUUUUAAGACUUUCUGGUUCUCUGCCCCUUUUUUAAAAAAGUAGCAUCCCUUAUUUAUUGUUUCAGAUAUUCCUAAGUGUGCUAAUUACUUUCAGUUCUUUUGAUUAAAAGUGAUAGAAAAUCUAAGCUGCAUAAGGAAGGAGCUAACUUACUGCUCACAAAACUGAAAUGUUGGCAGUAAUGCUGACUUUGGGUGCAUUUGAGUUUUCUAUGGGAGCUUACAUGGUAACACCAGCACCUGGUUUAUAUCUUUCUAAACCUUACCUUUGUUUAUUCUAGUUCCAUUCUCAGAGUCUUUGCUUAUGGUAGAGAGAGACAGCAGCAGCUCAGCCUACUUAAGUUAAAGUUGCAUGAGAAUGAGUGAGGGCCUCUUUCCUGGAGUUCCUAGGAGUUCUCUUUCCAUGGCAUCCAGUAAUUGUCUCAUGGUACCUCACUGGUUCUGACUGGGCACAUUCCUAAACAUACUCCAAUGGCUAUAGGAGCAGAACCUAGGAAUUUUGCACUAGGGGAGCUAUAGCCGUCUUUCUCCCACAUGAUCUGUCUGACCAUAGAAUGUAGGCCUAGAUUGUGGAUUGAACUCAAACGCAUUUGAGACGUGAGAGCUCAGUAUAGUGAGGUAUAGAUCAACAGAGCAAAAUGGGGUAACCACAAGGAGGAGGGGUCCUAGGCACAAAAUAUAACAACUAUUUUUUGCAAUCACAUGGCUUGGAAAAAUACAGAAGUUUUGAAUAUGUGGGGGCAAAGGUAGAUGAGUGUUGGGCAUUUUACUGAAAUGGAGGGCAGUAAGCCAAGGACUGGCUAGUAUGUAGCAUACAGAGUAUCUGUCUAGAGAUAUUUAUGUCCCACUGUUACAGGUUGGGGGGAGGGGGCAGAGAAAGAAAACCAUAGUGAGUAAAAAUAUCUCUGUGUUUAUGCCUGAAGUUUCAUCAAUUUUGUAGGAACAGGGAAAUAUUGGGUGGAUUGGGAAGAUUAGAAACAGUAAUCAUUUACAUUUUAAUGGGAAAUGUCCUAAUCAGUUUUCCUAUUUCUAGAAGAGAUCACCCUAUACUCACAUAUAUAGGAACAUAGACUAUUUCUAGGAAGAUGGAGACAAAACUUCCCCACACCACAUCAAGGACUUCUGAGAGGAAGAUGCCCUAAAUAAAGGAGUAUUUGAAGAAAGAGAAGUUAGAGGAAGACAAGUACUCCACCAUGCUGAUGUCAUUUUACCCUUCUCUCUUAGAGACGGAAUCUCAGCUCUAUUCUUCUUUUUCCUUCUUCCCCCUCCUUACUUUUCUAAGUUAAAGUGACAAGCAGCGGAAAGAAGGCAAUAAAUAAUUAGCAUCAGCAAUUAAUAAGUCAAUUUCUAUACUCUAUCUGCUCUGUGAACAGUUGUCAACACAGUGUGAAUUUUCCUAACCAGUUUGUUUCAGUUAAGUCCAGAGAUAAGCCCUUUGACUCAUCCUCAUGAGGACAAAGAAUGGAAUGAGUGGAUUUUAUCUGCUGAAUUAGCUGGACGCGUCACAUUUGACUUUAAUAACUCUUUCUGUUUUCCUUCCUAAACCUACCAUGCACUUUGUUCUAAUUGGAGUAUUAUUACAGUGUGGCAGCAGGCCAUCUUGUAAUUCUUUUUAAAAUUCUCUCUGCUUUGACAGCUUUGGUGUCUGGAAGCACAAAUUUAUUUGUCAUUUGGAACCUGAGAUAUGGAUCAGUCUUUCCUCAUGGCCAGACCUCACCUGAAAAAGCAACGACCAGGACAAGACUCUGGACAAAGUCUGCUGGUUAGGGGGCAGCUGCUCUGAUGGCCACAGAUACGGGGCUGUAUGUAGACUCGUUUUGUCAAAUAGACAUGCUGGAUGAGAUCUCUAAGGUUAUUUCCAGCUUUGACAUUUUAUCAUCUGACAAUGUGUAGGUUUUGAUAUUAACCAAGAAUCAGUUCUGCUCCAUUUGUUUAAAAUAAAUCUCUUCACCCGUUGGUCACACUUCUUUAGUGAUGAGACCAGGUUCUACCAAGGGCAGAAGAGAAGGUGAAAUCUGCAAGUCCUCUAGAUUCCUUUCUACAUUCACAUGUGUAUCAACUCUGCUUUCUCUUCCUUCUACUAGACCAUGAGUUGUUUGGGAACAGGAGCUGUGUCUUGUUAAUCUUGCUUCUCCCAAUGUCAAGCAUGGUGCCUGCAUUCAGGGGUACGUACUAAGCGUCCAAACUACAGAACUGAAUAAUUCUAUGUGACCUUCAAGUGUACCUUAAAUUAGAAUCUUUAUGUAAUUUGCUUUACUUUUUAUCCCCUUAUAUUUGGAAAACCUGUUACUCAGUGUAAUCUUAUGCUACUUUAUCUUAAUAAUUAAAAACAUUAGCUUUAUAUUAAAGAGGAAUUAGUUUCUUUUUUCCUAGUUGAGAUGUCAAUUUUCUUUAAUAUUCCUUUGGGGGAAGGGGAAGAUUAGUGUUGCUAGAUAAAAUUCAGGAUACCAGUUGGGAAUUUGAAUUUCAGGUAAACAAUGAAUAAGUUUUUAACAUAAAUAUGUCCCAAUUCCUUUUUUAAAUCUGAAAUUUUAAUUUAACUGGGUGUCCUUUUUAAAUUUUCUUUCCUAAAUUUAGCAACCCAGGCUCUCAUCCUGGUCAAUAUAAUAUUCUAUCUUGAAGUUCCCAAGUAUAGAUUCCAUAGAACCUAAUGGAGAAGUGGCAUUUUAGAGCCAGGAUCACACUCAGAAGAUAUGACCUGUCCGGUCAGAACCUUUAUCUUUUUAUGGAAUUAUCUAAAUUACAACCAGAGGUAAAAAAUAGCAACUGAAAACACAUAUUAGUACCUGCUCUCCCACCUUUCUUUAAAACUGAUUUACUGUAUUUAUUAUGCCCAAAGUACCAACCUGCUGCAAGGUGGUGAUCUGACAAUGAGUGUAGAAAUACAAGUCCUAAGCACAAAUUUGAAGGGUCUCAUAAACGUUCUCCUAAUACAUUCUUUAAAAUUCUCAAGUGGGAAAAUACUAUACUUUCUCAGGUUUACUGGGGAAAGAAGUUGGGGAGGGCCAGGCAGCAGAAUUUUUUCUAGUUUCUUCUUCAGUUCUCCAAUAUAUACAUUAUAACUAACAAGAAUUUCUAUUUUUUCCCCUAUAUCUCUAUUUUUUCCCCUAUAUCCCUUUCUGGAUUUAUUGCUGACCCUACAACUUGGGCACUCCAAGGAAUGCCUGCAAGUCCAGAAAUGUUUUGUGAAGCGGAAAACCUCUGAAGUUAUCCUACUCCUAGUUGACCUAGUCAAAAUCAGGCUGGCGGUUCUUGCAGUGGGUGUUCCUAUCUCUACUGCAUAGUCACAUCACCAGGUGAGCUCAAGUGGAAGACCUUGAGGGCAAGGCAUCCGUUGAUGGGAACCCAAGCAGUAAGGACACCCUGCCUGUGAUCGACUCCAACACAGUGAUACACAGUGAUCUAUUUGAUCUUCACUGCCUAUCUGAAGAAAUUACAUAGGCCCCACUGUGUGUCUGUCAUUGAACUAGAUUCUGAGGAUACAAAAUUGAAUGAGAUGUGAACCUUAUCCAUAAGAUAUUUGGAGUCUCACUGGGGACAGAGACAUCAAACAAUCAGUAAUCAAAGUAAGUAGAUCAGUUGGUCUUUGAAAUCAGAUAGACAACAUUUAAACCCCUCUUUCACCACUUCCUGAUUCUCAACCUCCUUAUCUAGAAAACCGAUACAAUUUCUGCCUUGUAUUUCAGGUGCAGGGGAACAACAUAUGUCAAGGCAGGUGGCCACAGAACAGCGUGAUCAGUAAGAAGUUUUUUUUUUUUUAUUUGAUCAGUAAGAAGUUUGAGAAAAUCAGAUAAGGGCUGUUCUGAAAGAGACCUUUGACUUUUUAAAUCUGUGGAAUAUACUUAUUGAAAAUACUGAUAUCUGCUAACCACAUUAUUGCCUAUCAUUCCCAGCCCUGGCUCUAUAAGACCAUUUUCAUGUAAUCUUUAUUUCAGCCAGACUGUUAAUUACUGUUCCUCUAAACACUCUGCUCUUUCCAGCUUCUGAGCUUUCCCUAGGGGGUUCCCACCUUAGCAUCUUCUUCUUUGUUUAAUGUUUAUUUUUUAUUUCGAAAGAGACAGCGUGUGAGUGGGAUAGGGGAUAGACAGAGGGGGAGAGAGAGAAUCCCAAGCAGGCUCUGUGGAGCCUGAUGCGGGGCCUGAACUCAUGAAUCGUGAGCUGAAAUCAAGAGUUGGACGCUUAACCGACUGAGCCACCCAGACGUCCCUGUCUUAUGCAUAUUUGUAUCCCCUCAGCACUUACUCAAUGUCUUAUAUGUCUUACACAUAGUGGAUGGCAUCUAAAUAUUUGUGAAGUUGAAUUUGGUGAGGCAAGCCAUUCUUGUCUUAUAGCUACAGAACAAGAGCUAAUCUGUAGUUGUAAAGGUUCUGGAUCAUUGAAUGAAAGCUGCUCUUUCAGCAGAUCAUAAUUGUGCAAAGCUGUUAAGUGUAUACUUUUGAAAAACAGGUUUUGCUGUGUUACUGAGUUCAUGUUGCCAUGACAACCUUAACUUUUGGCACUUUCUGAAUUUAGUGUCCUACUUAAUUUCCUGUGUUUGGCUCUGAGAGACCAUAUUGUUCUGUCCUUUUCGUUUGCUUUUACAAAUCUUUGAACUGAAAAUCAUUUAUGAAUUUAUUUUAUUUGCCUUAUUAGGUCCUUAAUAGGAUCCUAAGACUGGGGACUUGGUCUACUACCUUUGGGAUCCCUGAUAGCACCCAGGAAUGCCCUAUACUUUUUAGACAUUGUGUGUGUCAAUAUACAUUGUAGAUGAAUUGAGAAAUUGUUGGUGCAGUAGGGCAGAACAAUGUUUGUCCCAAAGAUGUUUAAAUCCCAAUCCUUAGAACCUGUGAAUAUGUCACCUUACAAAGUAAAAGGGGCUUGCAGAGGUGAUUAAGAAUUUUGAGGGGCUCUUGGGUGUGGCUCAGUUGGUUGGUGUCCAACUUCAUUUUGGCUAAGGUCAUGAUCUUGGGGUUUGUGAGUUCAAGCCCUACAUUGGGCUCUCUGGCUGUCAGUGCAGAGCCCAUUUGGGAUCCUCUGUCUCUCUCUCUCUCUCUGCCUCUCCCCCACUUACCUUCUCUCUCUUUCUCUCUCUCUCUCUCAAAAGUAAGUAAACAUUAAAAAAAAAAGAAAAAAGAAUUUUGAGACAGGGGGGUUAUCCUGGAUCUUCCAAGUGGGCCAAUGUAAUCAUAAGGGCCUUUGUAAGAGGGAGGCAGGAGGAACAGGGUCAGUAGCAGGAAACUGAUGAUGGAAGAACUGAUGAUGGACUUAUGGCACAAAGGAGCCAUAAGUCAAGGAAUGUGGGAGUUUCUACAAGCUGAAAAAGUCAAGGAAAUAAAUUCUCCCCUGAAGUCUCCAGAAGGAAUGAAGCCCUGUGUCCACUUUGAUUUUAGACUCCUGACCUUCAGAACUGUAAGACAAUAAAUAUGUUGUUGUAAGCCA
Felis catus (domestic cat) is the source of this 6818-nucleotide long non-coding RNA. RefSeq lists it as uncharacterized. The record is from RefSeq and is a predicted model, not a curated record. NCBI's taxonomy places the organism in Eukaryota, Metazoa, Chordata, Mammalia, Carnivora, Felidae. The transcript is spliced from 3 exons.